This 427-nucleotide ribosomal RNA is filed under the name uncultured Actinomycetes bacterium. RNAcentral describes it as "bacterial SSU rRNA". It matches the Rfam family "Bacterial small subunit ribosomal RNA", at positions 958 to 1385 of the family's 1533-position model. The record is from RNAcentral. Lineage: Bacteria; Bacillati; Actinomycetota; Actinomycetes.
AACGCGAAGAACCUUACCUGGGUUUGACAUGCACAGGACGCUGGUAGAGAUAUCAGUUCCCUUGUGGUCUGUGUGCAGGUGGUGCAUGGCUGUCGUCAGCUCGUGUCGUGAGAUGUUGGGUUAAGUCCCGCAACGAGCGCAACCCUUGUCUCAUGUUGCCAGCGGGUAAUGCCGGGGACUCGUGAGAGACUGCCGGGGUCAACUCGGAGGAAGGUGGGGAUGACGUCAAGUCAUCAUGCCCCUUAUGUCCAGGGCUUCACACAUGCUACAAUGGCCGGUACAAAGGGCUGCGAUGCCGUGAGGCUUAGCGAAUCCUUUAAAGCCGGUCUCAGUUCGGAUCGGGGUCUGCAACUCGACCCCGUGAAGUCGGAGUCGCUAGUAAUCGCAGAUCAGCAACGCUGCGGUGAAUACGUUCCCGGGCCUUGUA